This 398-nucleotide ribosomal RNA is filed under the name Rhyncogonus opacipennis. Its description in RNAcentral is "partial 16S ribosomal RNA". It matches the Rfam family "Archaeal large subunit ribosomal RNA", at positions 1946 to 2634 of the family's 2987-position model. Lineage: Eukaryota; Metazoa; Arthropoda; Insecta; Coleoptera; Curculionidae. The record is from RNAcentral.
GACCUGCCCACUGAGGAUUUAAAUGGCCGCGGUAUUUUGACCGUGCAAAGGUAGCAUAAUAAUUAGUUUUUUAAUUGAAAGCUGGAAUGAAAGGUUGGAUGAGAAAAUAACUGUCUCUAUUUAGAUUAAUUAAAAUUUUAUUUUUAAGUAAAAAAGCUUAAAUAAAAAUAGAAGACGAGAAGACCCUAUAGAGUUUUAAUUUAGUUGGGGUGAUUGAAAAAUUUAAUAAACUUUUUUUAUGUAUGGCCAUUGAUUUAUGAGUGAUUGAUCCUUAAAUUAAGAUUAAAAGAAAAAAUUACCUUAGGGAUAACAGCGUAAUUUUUUUAGAGAGUUCAAAUCGAAAAAAAAGAUUGCGACCUCGAUGUUGGAUUAAAAUUAAAUUUUGGUGUAGAAGCUAA